AACGUGAUGGGUUCCUGUGCGUUGAGGUUUGAGCUCUGUAAACGGCCUAGGUGAGAAAAGUGGAACAAAGUUGGCCACCGUAAAUAUUUCCAGAGUUCAAAGUGAACACAAAGAAGCAACUUUCAAUGAAAUAUAUUUUUUUCAUGAAGCAAAUUACAUGAAUAACAGUCAUUUUCCCAGAAGAAGAAUUGACUGAGAGCCAUUAAAUGCAAAAACACCACCUAAAGCUCUAGGAGUUCCUUAGCUGCAGACUGAUGCAAGCUGAAUGAUUUUUCCUGGCAGCUCACCCAUCAUCUACCCAGAAAAACAUCUGCAACCUGCUGAGAGCCCAAGGCUGUAGGAUCUGCAACCCUUUUCACAGUGUGUGAUUGGUUGAGGGGCUGCCUGUGCAGCUCAGAGUUUCUCUGCCUUGUGAGCAGAGGGUGUGUACUGCUGUUUCUGCAAGCAUCUCCCUUGUUCUGGGUCCUGAAAACUCAGCAAAUCCUGCAUCUGAAACUAGUAGCCAUAGAGACGCGCAGCUUUGGCAGCAUACUGCCUCUGUGCCUAGGCAGUAUAUAUAUAACAAACAAGUUGUCAGUAAAUUAAAUGUGUUGUAUCUGAUCCGUGCCAAGGUCCACAAACUCUUAAAUAUAGAGUAAUGGUUUAAAGUCUCCACUUAAUGCUAUCUGUGUUCCUUAUGAAUGUUGCUCACUUGGUCCUUAUGUAUUUGUUAGAUGCUACCAGUGCUGUGCAACAGGGAUUGCAGUAUGCUCUGUAUUUAUCUAGUCUGAAUCUGUAUGCACUAAUCCUAUGCACUGAGAAACACAUUAAGUCAAACUUAUGUCCAAAUCUAUAAGCAGCGUAAGAAUCUACUUAAGAAAAUAUCAUUAUUUAAGAAUCAAAAGGAGUAAAAUAUAUGGGCAAGGUUAGAAAAAAACAAGCCAGACUGGUGAUGUUCUCCAUGGUUACUAAUUUGGAAAUCUCUACAUUUAGAAAACAUACAGCUGAGAGGAAUGGCCAUAGGAGGUUUAACAAUGCUUUUGAGCAUGCUUCCCAGUUUGCUUCUCCAGCCUUCCCUUUAUGUGUAUGUUUAUUAUGGCAACAUGUAUGCAGAAAGCGUGUAUGCAUGGGAGACCUGCAAUAACACUGUUGAAUUGUAUCCACAAGAUGUACCACCACUUCAUAUUUCUUUUUCAAAUGCUACCUGCAGAUCUUAGUGGAACAAUGAUCUGAGAGAACUUUUGAUCCAUUUUCAUGAAGUUUUUCUGUGAAUGCUUCUCCUGCUUGCACACUGCGAAAGGCCUAACACUGUGUUUUGCUCUGCUCUCUCUUUCACUGCCUCAAUCCCUGUUCCCAGCAGUUAAAAGGUAGGGAUUUUCCCUGCCUAGUGAAACACUUACUGUCAAUAGCAAUUUUUUAGAGGAACAAGCUAUAUUACAAAGGUUAGGGAAUUUUGUAAAGAUCAUAAUCACCUAAAGGCUUCAUUAACCUUUACAAAAUAGUUGUUGCUGCAUUGCACAACAUGGGAUUAAAUUACCAUUAACAGACAGCAAUUAAUGACUGUAACAACUUCAAAGUACCACAAAUAGUGUUCAUAGUGUUCCUGAUACCAGUCUCCUAUCACAAGUUUUAUUCCAGCAAACAAACUUGAAAGAAGAUCCUCAAUGACAAAGCCUAGUUUAUGGUGUGUGCACUCCAGGAAACAUAUUUAUCUAAGUUUAUUAGUGUCUGACAGAACAUUACAGUGAGAUGGGGUUGGAAUAACCAGCUGCAAUAACAUCACCUUCUUUCUGCAGGUAUCCCAUAAACUAAGAUUUUUGUGAAUAAUAAUCACUUAUAGUAAUGAGUCCUGACCCUUUUGUUUGAGUAGAUACCAGAGACCAGAAUUCUGUGUUUUCCUGAAAUCUUUUUAGCCAGGCACUGAGCUGAUGAUCCAUGCUCUGCUAAACAGGCAUGCAGAAAUUAGAUUAAAGCCUUUUUAAACUACUUCAACAAAUAAUCUGUUUGGCCACAAAGAAAUGAAGCUUAACCUGUAUUAUUAAGCUAGACAGAAAAGCUUCUCCAGUCUCAGCAUUGUUAUUUGUUAUUAUUUUUACUGUUCAUUUGUAGCAAGCCUUCAGGAAUUCUUUACGAAGCCAACAAGCGUACAGUGAGUAAAGCAGAAUAUAAUGUGUUGAAUUAGAAAAAAUACGUAUAUUCUACAAACUAGAGUGGCACAAUCUCAAACUUUGGGUAAAAGAAGAGUAUUGGCAUAUAAGUUAGACAUGUUGGUGUAUACAUAAAGGAAAAUAAAGUUUAAUAUAACCAAGUGGUAUUACUUAAAUAACUUAAGUUUUCAGGAUGGAGAAGACAAAAAUUAUGGUGCUCUGUAAUUUAGUUCCUUUGUGAUACAUAUGUAUAUGAGGGAUUUCACACUUAGUUUUAAAUCUCUCUAAAUAUGGAGCUAUAUUCUCAAAUUUUGUCCACUCAUGACUACAAUAUCCAACUAGUU
Non-coding RNA from Anas platyrhynchos (mallard), 2470 nucleotides. NCBI's taxonomy places the organism in Eukaryota, Metazoa, Chordata, Aves, Anseriformes, Anatidae. The record is from RefSeq and is a predicted model, not a curated record.